This 160-nucleotide unclassified non-coding RNA is filed under the name uncultured Dermateaceae. RNAcentral describes it as "sequence contains ITS1". The record is from RNAcentral. Lineage: Eukaryota; Fungi; Ascomycota; Leotiomycetes; Helotiales; Dermateaceae.
CAGAGUAUCAUGCCCUUCGGGGUAGAUCUCCCACCCUGUGUAUUUAUACCUUUUGUUGCUUUGGCGGGCCGCCCUAGGCCACCGGCUCCGGCUGGUGAGCGCCCGCCAGAGGACCCCAAACUCUGAAUGUUAGUGUCGUCUGAGUACUAUACAAUAGUUA